This 2505-nucleotide ribosomal RNA is filed under the name Clostridium carboxidivorans P7. Its description in RNAcentral is "bacterial LSU rRNA". It matches the Rfam family "Bacterial large subunit ribosomal RNA", at positions 401 to 2925 of the family's 2925-position model. The record is from RNAcentral. Lineage: Bacteria; Bacillati; Bacillota; Clostridia; Eubacteriales; Clostridiaceae.
UCUACUCCAGAGUACCACGAGACACGUGAAACCUUGUGGGAAGCAGGGAGGACCACCUCCCAAGGCUAAAUACUAACUGGUGACCGAUAGUGAAGCAGUACCGUGAGGGAAAGGUGAAAAGAACCCCGGAAGGGGAGUGAAAUAGAACCUGAAACCGUGUGUCCACAACCGGUCGAAGCACUUUUAUGUGCGACGACGUGCUUUUUGUAGAACGAGCCAGCGAGUUACGGUAUGUAGCAAGGUUAAGUACUUAAGGUACGGAGCCGAAGGGAAACCGAGUCUGAAUAGGGCGAAAAGUUGCAUGUCGUAGACCCGAAACCGGGUGACCUAUCCAUGGCCAGGAUGAAGCGGAAGUAAAAUUCCGUGGAGGUCCGAACCACGUUGGUGUUGAAAAACCAUGGGAUGAGCUGUGGAUAGCGGAGAAAUUCCAAUCGAACUCGGAGAUAGCUGGUUCUCCUCGAAAUAGCUUUAGGGCUAGCGUUGAGAUUGAGUAGUGGAGGUAGAGCACUGAAUGGGCUAGGGGCUGACAACAGUUACUGAACCCUAUCAAACUCCGAAUGCCAUAUACUUGUAUCUCAGCAGUCAGACUGCGAAUGAUAAGAUCCGUAGUCAAAAGGGAAACAGCCCAGAUCAUCAGCUAAGGUCCCAAAGUGUAAGUUAAGUGGAAAAGGAUGUGGGAUUUCUAAGACAACUAGGAUGUUGGCUUAGAAGCAGCCACUCAUUUAAAGAGUGCGUAAUAGCUCACUAGUCAAGAGAUCCUGCGCCGAAGAUGUCCGGGGCUAAAACUUACCACCGAAGCUAUGGGCUCGAAAGAGCGGUAGAGGAGCUUCCUGUAUGGAGUGAAGUCGUACCGAAAGGAGCGGUGGACUGUACAGGAGUGAGUAUGCUGGCAUAAGUAGCGAGAAAUAAGUGAGAAUCUUAUUGGUCGAAAAUCUAAGGUUUCCUGAGGAAGGCUCGUCCGCUCAGGGUUAGUCGGGACCUAAGCCGAGGCCGAAAGGCGUAGGUGAUGGACAAUCGGUUGAUAUUCCGAUACCACCAACUGACGUUAUUACAAAUGGGAUGACGCAGGAGGAUAGGAUGUGCACACUAUUGGAUGUGUGUCUAAGCACUUAGACAGAUCAGACAGGCAAAUCCGUCUGGUUAAUGUUGAGGUGUGAUGGGGAGUGGCUUUAUGCCGCGAAGUAUCUGAUUCCACGCUGCCAAGAAAAGUCUCUAUGGAGGAUGUUGGUGCCCGUACCGCAAACCGACACAGGUAGAUGAGGAGAGAAUCCUAAGACCAUCGGAAGAAUUGUUGUCAAGGAACUCGGCAAAUUGACCCCGUAACUUCGGGAGAAGGGGUGCCUAUGAAAGUAGGUCGCAGAGAAUAGGCCCAAGCAACUGUUUAGCAAAAACACAGGUCUCUGCUAAAGCGAAAGCUGAAGUAUAGGGGCUGACGCCUGCCCGGUGCUGGAAGGUUAAGGGGAAUACUUAGCGCAAGCGAAGGUAUGAACUUAAGCCCCAGUAAACGGCGGCCGUAACUAUAACGGUCCUAAGGUAGCGAAAUUCCUUGUCGGGUAAGUUCCGACCCGCACGAAUGGCGUAAUGACUUGGGCACUGUCUCGACAACAAAUCCGGCGAAAUUGUAGUGCAAGUGAAGAUGCUUGCUACCCGCGAUUGGACGGAAAGACCCCGUAGAGCUUUACUGCAGCUUAGCAUUGAGUUUCGAUAUUGUCUGUACAGGAUAGGUGGGAGACUGCGAAACAGGGGCGUCAGCUUCUGUGGAGUCAUCCUUGGGAUACCACCCUGACAGUAUUGGGAUUCUAACCGGCGGCCAUGAAACUGGUCACGGGACAUUGUUAGGUGGGCAGUUUGACUGGGGCGGUCGCCUCCAAAAAAGUAACGGAGGCGCCCAAAGGUUCCCUCAGAACGGUUGGAAAUCGUUCGAAGAGUGCAAAGGCAGAAGGGAGCCUGACUGCGACACAUACAGGUGGAGCAGGGACGAAAGUCGGGCUUAGUGAUCCGGUGGUUCCUCGUGGGAGGGCCAUCGCUCAACGGAUAAAAGCUACCUCGGGGAUAACAGGCUGAUCUCCCCCAAGAGUCCACAUCGACGGGGAGGUUUGGCACCUCGAUGUCGGCUCGUCGCAUCCUGGGGCUGAAGUAGGUCCCAAGGGUUGGGCUGUUCGCCCAUUAAAGCGGCACGCGAGCUGGGUUCAGAACGUCGUGAGACAGUUCGGUCCCUAUCCGUCGCGGGCGUAGGAAAUUUGAGAGGAGCUGUCCUUAGUACGAGAGGACCGGGAUGGACUGACCUCUGGUGUACCAGUUGUUCCGCCAGGAGCAUGGCUGGGUAGCUAUGUCGGGACGGGAUAAACGCUGAAAGCAUCUAAGCGUGAAACCCACCUCAAGAUUAGAUUUCCCAUAGCGUAAGCUAGUAAGACCCCUUGAAGAACACAAGGUUGAUAGGUCAGAGGUGUAAGCAUGGUAACAUGUUCAGCUGACUGAUACUAAUAGGUCGAGGGCUUGACCAAA